GACGUAGGGCGCAAGCGUUGUCCGGAUUUAUUGGGCGUAAAGAGCUCGUAGGCGGUUUGUCGCGUCUGCCGUGAAAGUCCGGGGCUCAACUCCGGAUCUGCGGUGGGUACGGGCAGACUAGAGUGAUGUAGGGGGAGACUGGAAUUCCUGGUGUAGCGGUGAAAUGCGCAGAUAUCAGGAGGAACACCGGUGGCGAAGGCGGGGUCUCUGGGCCGGUACCGACGCUGGAGGGAGCGAAAAGCGUGGGGGAGCAAACGGGG
This 260-nucleotide ribosomal RNA is filed under the name uncultured bacterium. Its description in RNAcentral is "partial 16S ribosomal RNA". It matches the Rfam family "Bacterial small subunit ribosomal RNA", at positions 524 to 777 of the family's 1533-position model. The record is from RNAcentral.